GUAAUAAUUCUAGCCAACACAGCAAACACAUUAUAACAAAAUAAAUAAACCAUUUAAUUAAAUAGUAUGGGCGACAGAAACUUUAGCAUGAGCAAUAGAAAAAGUACUGCAAAGGAAAGAUGAAAUAAAAAUGAAAUAAAUAACAAAAACAAGAGAAAGAAAAGAUUAAACCUUGUACCUUUUGCAUAAUGGUCUAGUAAGUAAAACUUAACAAAAAGAAAUAAAGUUAGCCCCCCCGAAACUAGACGAGCUACUUAAAAGCAGCACUAACAAGGGCCGACCCGUCUCUGUAGCAAAAGAGUGGGAAGACUUUUAAGUAGAGGUGAUAGACCUAACGAGCCUAGUGAUAGCUGGUUGCUUAAGAAAUGGAUUUUAGUUCAGCUUAAAACGCUUUUUAAUUACCAAAAAAUAAAAAUAGCACUUUAAAGUUAAUUAAUAAAGGUACAGCUUUAUUAAUAAAGGAUACAACCUAAAACAUGAAUAAAGAUUAUAUUAAUUUAAGUAUUUAACCAUGUAGGCCUAAAAGCAGCCACCAUAAGAAAGCGUCAAAGCCCAGUUUACACAACACUUGUUAUCCCAAUAAAUAAUCUAAAUUCACACAACAUAUUAAGCCUAUCUAUUAAAUAGAUGAGUUUAUACUAGAAUGAGUAAUAAGAACAUAUUCUCUAUAUGCAUGUGUAAAUCAGAACGAACAAAUCACUGAUAAUUAACGACCAAAUAUAUUAAAAAUCAAGAAAAACAUAUUAAACCAACCGUUGACCCAACACAGGAGCAUCAAAGAAAGAUUAAAAGACUAAAAAGGAACUCGGCAAACACGAACUUCGCCUGUUUACCAAAAACAUCGCCUCUUGCUAAUAAGUAAGUAUAAGAGGUCCCGCCUGCCCGGUGAGCAAUUUUAACGGCCGCGGUAUCAUGACCGUGCAAAGGUAGCGUAAUCACUUGUCUUUUAAAUAGAGACCUGUAUGAAUGGCAAAACGAAAGUUCAACUGUCUCUUUAGUCCAAUCAAUUAAAUUUAUCUCUCCGUGCAGAAGCGGAGAUAAACAUAUAAGACGAGAAGACCCUAUGGAGCUUUAAACACACUAUUAACUAUGCCCCUACAACAGCCCGACAGGCAAAAAAUUAUAGACCGCAUAGAUGUAAUACAAGUUUUGGGUUGGGGCGACCACGGAAGAAAAAUCAUCCUCCGAGAUAAACAGUUUAGAACAACAUUUCAAAAAUUAAAACAUUUAUUAAAAAUGAUCCACUAAGUGAUCAACGAACCAAGUUACCCUAGGGAUAACAGCGCAAUCCUUUCUAAGAGUUCAUAUCGACGAACGGGUUUACGACCUCGAUGUUGGAUCAGGACACCCAAAUGGUGCAGCCGCUGUUAAUGGUUCGUUUGUUCAACGAUUAAAGUCCUACGUGAUCUGAGUUCAGACCGGAGUAAUCCAGGUCAGUUUCUAUCUAUAAAAAAUUUUUUCUAGUACGAAAGGACCGAAAAAAUAGAGCCACUUAUAAUAAAAAGCUCCUAACCAGUUGAAAACAAAUAAAACACAUAAUAAAAGACACCCUUAGAGCAGGGACAAA
This 1567-nucleotide ribosomal RNA is filed under the name Pleurodeles waltl (Iberian ribbed newt). RNAcentral's name for it is "16S ribosomal RNA". It matches the Rfam family "Bacterial large subunit ribosomal RNA". Lineage: Eukaryota; Metazoa; Chordata; Amphibia; Caudata; Salamandridae. The record is from RNAcentral.